AGUAAUGCGUGACCAACCUGCCCCAUGCUCCAGAAUAGCUCUUGGAAACGGGUGGUAAUGCUGGAUGCUCCAACUUGACGCAUGUCUUGUUGGGAAAGUGUUUAGUGGCAUGGGAUGGGGUCGCGUCCUAUCAGCUUGUAGGCGGGGUAAUGGCCCACCUAGGCUUCGACGGGUAGCCGGCCUGAGAGGGCGGACGGCCACAUUGGGACUGAGAUACGGCCCAGACUCGUACGGGAGGCAGCAGCU
This 246-nucleotide ribosomal RNA is filed under the name uncultured Gardnerella sp. RNAcentral's name for it is "partial 16S ribosomal RNA". It matches the Rfam family "Bacterial small subunit ribosomal RNA", at positions 109 to 355 of the family's 1533-position model. The record is from RNAcentral. Lineage: Bacteria; Bacillati; Actinomycetota; Actinomycetes; Bifidobacteriales; Bifidobacteriaceae.